RNAcentral lists this ribosomal RNA (550 nucleotides) under uncultured Glomus. Its description in RNAcentral is "SSU rRNA". It matches the Rfam family "Eukaryotic small subunit ribosomal RNA", at positions 548 to 1098 of the family's 1831-position model. Lineage: Eukaryota; Fungi; Glomeromycota; Glomeromycetes; Glomerales; Glomeraceae. The record is from RNAcentral.
UUGGAGGGCAAGUCUGGUGCCAGCAGCCGCGGUAAUUCCAGCUCCAAUAGCGUAUAUUAAAGUUGUUGCAGUUAAAAAGCUCGUAGUUGAAUUUCGGGAUCAAUGUUUCGGUCAUGCCCUUGGUAUGUACUGAUAUUAUUGGUUUCUCACCUUCUAAAGAACCGUAAUGCCAUUAAUUUGGUGUCACGGGGAAUUAGGACUGUUACCUUGAAAAAAUUAGAGUGUUUAAAGCAGGCUCACGCUUGAAUACAUUAGCAUGGAAUAAUGAAAUAGGACAUCCGAUUCUAUUUUGUUGGUUUCUAGGAUCGAUGUAAUGAUUAAUAGGGAUAGUUGGGGGCAUUAGUAUUCAAUUGUCAGAGGUGAAAUUCUUGGAUUUAUUGAAGACUAACUACUGCGAAAGCAUUUGCCAAGGAUGUUUUCAUUAAUCAAGAACGAAAGUUAGGGGAUCGAAGACGAUCAGAUACCGUCGUAGUCUUAACCAUAAACUAUGCCGACUAGGGAUCGGAUGAUGUUAAUUUUUUAAUGACUCAUUCGGCGCCUUACGGGAAAC